ACGGAAGGCAGCAGUGAGGAAUAUUGGUCAAUGGACGGAAGUCUGAACCAGCCAAGUCGCGUGAAGGAUGAAGGUAUUAUGUAUUGUAAACUUCUUUAGCAGUGGAGUAAUAAGGGGAUCGCGAUCCCUGAUGCAAGUACACUGAGAAUAAGGAUCGGCUAACUCCGUGCCAGCAGCCGCGGUAAUACGGAGGAUCCGAGCGUUAUCCGGAUUUAUUGGGCUUAAAGGGUGCGCAGGCGGCUUUUUAAGUCAGUGGUUAAAUCGUGACGCUCAACGUCAUCACGCCAUUGAUACUGGCGAGCUUGAUUGCGGUCGAGGUUUGCGGAAUUCGUUGUGUAGCGGUGAAAUGCAUAGAUAUGACGAAGAACACCGAUUGCGUAGGCAGCAGACCAGGCCGUAAAUGACGCUCAUGCACGAAAGUGCGGGGAUCGAACAGGAUUAGAUACCCUGGUA
This 453-nucleotide ribosomal RNA is filed under the name uncultured Porphyromonadaceae bacterium. RNAcentral's name for it is "partial 16S ribosomal RNA". It matches the Rfam family "Bacterial small subunit ribosomal RNA", at positions 341 to 792 of the family's 1533-position model. Lineage: Bacteria; Pseudomonadati; Bacteroidota; Bacteroidia; Bacteroidales; Porphyromonadaceae. The record is from RNAcentral.